This 775-nucleotide ribosomal RNA is filed under the name Staphylococcus sp. N33. RNAcentral's name for it is "bacterial SSU rRNA". It matches the Rfam family "Bacterial small subunit ribosomal RNA", at positions 45 to 802 of the family's 1533-position model. The record is from RNAcentral. Lineage: Bacteria; Bacillati; Bacillota; Bacilli; Caryophanales; Staphylococcaceae.
UGCCUAAUACAUGCAAGUCGAGCGAACAGACGAGGAGCUUGCUCCUCUGANGUUAGCGGCGGACGGGUGAGUAACACGUGGAUAACCUACCUAUAAGACUGGGAUAACUUCGGGAAACCGGAGCUAAUACCGGAUAACAUGUUGAACCGCAUGGUUCAACAGUGAAAGACGGUCUUGCUGUCACUUAUAGAUGGAUCCGCGCCGCAUUAGCUAGUUGGUAAGGUAACGGCUUACCAAGGCAACGAUGCGUAGCCGACCUGAGAGGGUGAUCGGCCACACUGGAACUGAGACACGGUCCAGACUCCUACGGGAGGCAGCAGUAGGGAAUCUUCCGCAAUGGGCGAAAGCCUGACGGAGCAACGCCGCGUGAGUGAAGAAGGUCUUCGGAUCGUAAAACUCUGUUAUUAGGGAAGAACAAAUGUGUAAGUAACUAUGCACGUCUUGACGGUACCUAAUCAGAAAGCCACGGCUAACUACGUGCCAGCAGCCGCGGUAAUACGUAGGUGGCAAGCGUUAUCCGGAAUUAUUGGGCGUAAAGCGCGCGUAGGCGGUUUUUUAAGUCUGAUGUGAAAGCCCACGGCUCAACCGUGGAGGGUCAUUGGAAACUGGAAAACUUGAGUGCAGAAGAGGAAAGUGGAAUUCCAUGUGUAGCGGUGAAAUGCGCAGAGAUAUGGAGGAACACCAGUGGCGAAGGCGACUUUCUGGUCUGUAACUGACGCUGAUGUGCGAAAGCGUGGGGAUCAAACAGGAUUAGAUACCCUGGUAGUCCACGCCG